AGUGAACGCUGGCGGUAGGCCUAACACAUGCAAGUCGAACGGCAGCACAGUAAGAGCUUGCUCUUACGGGUGGCGAGUGGCGGACGGGUGAGGAAUACAUCGGAAUCUACUUUUUCGGGGGGGAUAACGGAGGGAAACUUACGAUAAUACCGCAUACGACCUACGGGUGAAAGCAGGGGAUCUUCGGACCUUGCGCGAUUGAAUGAGCCGAUGUCGGAUUAGCUAGUUGGCGGGGUAAAGGCCCACCAAGGCGACGAUCCGUAGCUGGUCUGAGAGGAUGAUCGGCCACACUGGAACUGAGACACGGUCCAGACUCCUACGGGAGGCAGCAGUAGGGAAUAUUGGGCAAUGGGCGCAAGCCUGAUCCAGCCAUGCCGCGUGAGUGAAGAAGGCCUUCGGGUUGUAAAGCCCUUUUGUUGGGAAAGAAAAGCAGCAUGUUAAUACCCCGCUGUUCUGACGGUACCCAAAGAAUAAGCACCGGCUAACUUCGUG
This 492-nucleotide ribosomal RNA is filed under the name uncultured bacterium. RNAcentral describes it as "partial 16S ribosomal RNA". It matches the Rfam family "Bacterial small subunit ribosomal RNA", at positions 29 to 507 of the family's 1533-position model. The record is from RNAcentral.